AGAAUCAACGCUGGCGGCGUGCCUAACACAUGCAAGUCGAACGAGAAAGUGGAGCAAUCCAUGAGUAAAGUGGCGCACGGGUGAGUAACACGUGACUAACCUACCUUUUAGUGGGGGAUAACCUAGGGAAACCUGGGCUAAUACCGCAUAAUACCUACGGGUCAAAGCAGCAAUGCGCUGGAAGAGGGGGUCGCGGCCGAUUAGCUAGUUGGCGGGGUAAUGGCCCACCAAGGCAGUGAUCGGUAUCCGGCCUGAGAGGGCGCACGGACACACUGGAACUGAAACACGGUCCAGACUCCUACGGGAGGCAGCAGUGGGAAUUUUGCGCAAUGGGGGAAACCCUGACGCAGCAACGCCGCGUGGAGGAUGAAGACCCUUGGGUCGUAAACUCCUUUCGAUCGGGACGAUAAUGACGGUACCGGAAGAAGAAGCCCGGCUAACUUCGCGCCAGCAGCCGC
Molecule: ribosomal RNA, 458 nt
Filed under: uncultured bacterium
Lineage: Bacteria
Description: SSU rRNA
Rfam family: Bacterial small subunit ribosomal RNA
Source: RNAcentral